RNAcentral lists this ribosomal RNA (376 nucleotides) under uncultured bacterium. RNAcentral describes it as "bacterial SSU rRNA". It matches the Rfam family "Bacterial small subunit ribosomal RNA", at positions 524 to 898 of the family's 1533-position model. The record is from RNAcentral.
UACGUAGGUGGCGAGCGUUGUCCGGAUUUAUUGGGCGUAAAGCGCGCGCAGGCGGUGCGGUAAGUCUGUCGUGAAAUCUCCCGGCUCAACUGGGAGGGUGCGGUGGAGACUGCCGGACUGGAGGCACUCAGAGGCCGGUGGAAUUCCCGGUGUAGUGGUGAAAUGCGUAGAGAUCGGGAGGAACACCAGUGGCGAAGGCGGCCGGCUGGGGGUGACCUGACGCUGAGGCGCGAAAGCGUGGGGAGCGAACCGGAUUAGAUACCCGGGUAGUCCACGUUGUAAACGAUGGCCACUAGAUGUGGGGGGUAUCGACCCCCUCCGUGUCGGAGCUAACGCAGUAAGUGGCCCGCCUGGGGAGUACGGCCGCAAGGCUAAA